This 72-nucleotide transfer RNA is filed under the name bacterium. Its description in RNAcentral is "tRNA-Asn". It matches the Rfam family "tRNA". From Rfam's summary of the family: Transfer RNA (tRNA) molecules are approximately 80 nucleotides in length. Their secondary structure includes four short double-helical elements and three loops (D, anti-codon, and T loops). Further hydrogen bonds mediate the characteristic L-shaped molecular structure. tRNAs have two regions of fundamental functional importance: the anti-codon, which is responsible for specific mRNA codon recognition, and the 3' end, to which the tRNAs corresponding amino acid is attached (by aminoacyl-tRNA synthetases). tRNAs cope with the degeneracy of the genetic code in two manners: having more than one tRNA (with a specific anti-codon) for a particular amino acid; and 'wobble' base-pairing, i.e. permitting non-standard base-pairing at the 3rd anti-codon position. RNAcentral also lists the same sequence under 2 other names. The record is from RNAcentral.
ACACGGGUAGCAUAAUGGUAAUGCCCCAAACUGUUAAUUUGUCAGAUGUAGGUUCGAAUCCUACCCCGUGUG